CUUGGAACAUGGCUAAAAAUACAAGUAUGAAAACAUCUACCCAAUUCAAUACCAUCUUUAAUAUAAGCCUCUAUCAUAGAUUUAUCUUCACAUCAACUCCGUAAUUUUUGAAUAAUAGGCAAAGAGUCUCCUUCCACAACAACAUUUUGAAAACCUAGAUCAAGCCCCCAUUGAAGACUCUGUACCGAAGCAAGGGCCUUAGCUGUGAAUGGGGAAGGUAUAUUCCUAUUUAAAAC
Molecule: long non-coding RNA, 236 nt
Filed under: Gossypium barbadense (sea-island cotton)
Lineage: Eukaryota; Viridiplantae; Streptophyta; Magnoliopsida; Malvales; Malvaceae
Description: long non-coding RNA (GBAR_LNC008884)
Source: RNAcentral